This 623-nucleotide unclassified non-coding RNA is filed under the name Hevea brasiliensis (rubber tree). Lineage: Eukaryota; Viridiplantae; Streptophyta; Magnoliopsida; Malpighiales; Euphorbiaceae. The record is from RNAcentral.
GUUUUUAUGUGGCUUAUUCUGCUUGGGUGCAUUAGUUUCAAAUGGCUUUCUUUUCUUUAAUAUUUGAAUGCUGUGAAUCAUUCCACUCUUCAAAAUUGCGUUAGCUGAUUUUGAGCUAAGUAUUGAACCGAUUAUUCCUGGACUUUGCUAUUGUGAUACAGCAAUACCUUUCAAUAAACUGCAUUGAGUUUAUUUUGAUAGCCAAGAUGGUUUUGAAUAGUUGGCUGGGUUGAAGUAGUGAUGGUUGUGUUGUUGAUCUUAUGGAAAUGUUUAUAAAUGGUGUUGGUUCUAUGUGGGAAGUAAUGAGUUCUACUUCUUAGAUGGCAUGGAAGCCACAUCAAACUUGGCAUCUAUGUUAGCAGAUGAGUAAGGCAUUUCAGAAAAUUUAGCUAGCAGCCAUAUCAUGAAAGUGUACCAAAAACACAUAUUACAAUACUUAAAAACAAAUCAGGGAUAUCUUCAAAAAAAAUCAGGAAUCUAUUGGGAUCCAUCAAUUAUGUCACUGCAUAAUUUAAUUUUGGUAAUCAUGCAUCAAGUAUUGUGAAUACUUGUGUAUCAAAAUGCAAGGCAGUAUGGUUCAGAAAAUUUGACUAACAGUCAAAUAAUGAAACUGUACAAAAAAC